Molecule: transfer RNA, 64 nt
Filed under: uncultured Eubacterium sp.
Lineage: Bacteria; Bacillati; Bacillota; Clostridia; Eubacteriales; Eubacteriaceae
Rfam family: tRNA
About the family: Transfer RNA (tRNA) molecules are approximately 80 nucleotides in length.
Source: RNAcentral
AUAGUUCAGUUGGUAGAACGCAGGUCUCCAAAACCUGAUGUCGAGGGUUCAAGUCCUUCUGCCC